Molecule: long non-coding RNA, 312 nt
Filed under: Homo sapiens (human)
Lineage: Eukaryota; Metazoa; Chordata; Mammalia; Primates; Hominidae
Description: HSALNT0128207
Source: RNAcentral
UCUUGUGAGUCCUGGAGGGAACGCUGCAGUGGGGGCUAGUUGUGGGCAGAAUAAAGGUGGUUUCUGGAAAUAUGGAUUCCUGCCAGAGUGAGUGCUGCUUAGGUCUGUACAACGGACACUUGGUCAUGUGUACGCUAAACUUCUUUGUGCCUGAGAAUCUCUCUCCUGCAGCUUCCAGAUGCAGGGAUUGGUACUGAGGAAAGGCCAUGUGGGCAGGCAGCAAGAAGGCAGCCAUCUGGAAGCUAGGAAGAAAAUCCUUACCAGAACCCAACCAUUUUGGCACCCUAAUCUCAGACUUCCAGCCUCCUCGAA